RNAcentral lists this ribosomal RNA (253 nucleotides) under uncultured bacterium. RNAcentral's name for it is "partial 16S ribosomal RNA". It matches the Rfam family "Bacterial small subunit ribosomal RNA", at positions 524 to 776 of the family's 1533-position model. The record is from RNAcentral.
UACGGGGGGGGCAAGCGUUGUUCGGAAUUACUGGGCGUAAAGGGCUCGUAGGCGGCCAACUAAGUCGGAUGUGAAAUCCCCAGGCUCAACUUGGGAACUGCAUUUGUGACUGCAUGGCUAGAGUGCGGCAGAGGGGGAUGGAAUUCCGCGUGUAGCAGUGAAAUGCGUAGAUAUGCGGAGGAACACCGAUGGCGAAGGCAAUCCCCUGGGCCUGCACUGACGCUCAUGCACGAAAGCGUGGGGAGCAAACAGG